CCUCUCCUGCGCACCGGCCAAUCCCGUCCCUGUUGCCGAGCUUUGGCUGGCUAACUGACGUUGCUCUGGCGACGGCAAGAACGUUGGGCGCUCACAAAACACACCGACGUCAGCGCGUAGUAACCACGGAAACGAGCCCCGCAACGUCAUCGCUCUUUCUCCCUUCCCCUUCAGAAAUCGUUAGCCACGCAGGCGGCGGCGUCACCCGCUGAGGGGAGGAGGAGGAGGAGGCUCCCGGUUGUCAUAGCAGCUCAGGGAGGUGGGGCUCCGUCGCCAAAGCAGCAGGGAAGGUAGGGCUCGGUUGCCAUGGCAGCGGGAAGGUCUGUUUUGUUUUGGGGUGGAGCUGUAAUUAGAAAGCGAGGACUGAGGGCGGCGAGGUGCCGGCGGCCCCACAGCGAGAGACCGAGAGGGAAGCUGGUUUGUUUUGAUUUCUGAGAUCCCGGGGGCUUUGGUGUCUCGAAGUGACGCUCCGGGAGCGACUGGUGGGGGUUGAAACCGGGAUUCCCUCUUAUAAUAAUUAAGAAUAAUUUAUUAUUUAUACCCCGCUCAUCUAGCUGAGUUUCCCCAGCCACUCUGGGCGGCUCCCAAUCGAGUGUUAAAAACAAUACAACGUGUGCGAAUGAUGUCCGCCUCACAAUAUUCGGAGAUCUGGACCAGAGGUCGAUCCCGGCAAACGUUCGUUGUGGGGACGGACAGGGGGCGGAUCCUGUCGUGUCUGCCUCAAGCGGCGAAACGUGAGGAAGCGCACUCGCGCUGUCUGCAGCACACGCACCAAAAGGGAAACCCAAGUCUGACGCACCGAUCAACAACAACCCCCGCGGCACUCGACUCAAGCCUUUUCUGCUCUUUCUUACGUAACGCAAGCCGUGAUCCCUGCAUCCCCCCUUUAAUAAAAAGAUAAAGCAAAUCGUAUCUAUAAAAAUAAGAGAGAAAUAAAGCCGGCUUGAGCAUUUGUCCCAACUGACAAAAUAAUUAGUAGUCAUGUUGAUUAUUAUUAUUUUUCAAAUGUUGUUUAGUUUCAGAUGUUGGUGGAUAUCCAGCGGUCAGGUGUGAUGGGAGCUGGAGUCCAGCAAUAUCUCACUGCAAUGGCAGCUUAUCUGAUAUUUCUGUUAUAUUCCAUUUAAUAUAUUUAGUCUAUGUGUAUGAAGAGGAUGUAUACAAAUGUUAACAUCUGCAUUGCUUUGCUUGAAUACAUAGCCAUCGGUCAGUUCAUCUCAGCUUAGUUCUGAACUGAACCAGCAGUUUAAAGUGUUAUCAAAGAAUACUGGGUCUGGGUAUGGGGGAGAGACACCGUCCAAGUGUUUUAUAUUCUAUAUUCUCACACGGCUGCUUUGGAAUUGUGGUAUGGCAAAUCCAUGAGCCAAGGUAGUUUUGUUUUUAACAGACUCAAGAAUUGCUUUAAAAUUUACUCACUAUAUGGCCUUGGAGCAUACAUACCUAUUUUACACACACCCUGCUGAAAAUUCCUGGUUAAAUCAAUGGUUCAGAGUCAAUGUAUUAUUCUAUAAAUUACAAACUCAGUUUCAGCAAUCAGCAAUUCAGCAAUAGAGAGUAAGAGGUUAAAGCAGCCAAUUUCUGAGCAUGUUUCAAUGGCAGCAGCCAGUAUGGUGUGUCUAUUGACAUAUUCAGCACAAUUAAAAAGCAGUAUUAAAUUAUUAUUUGUAACAAAGCGCUCUUUGUUACUUUGCCAUAUUUAUAUAGCUGAGAUAUAUCUACCCGUCAGUUCUGCUGCCUGCCUGUUUAAGAAAUACCAAACAGUCAAAGCUGGACCUAUGAAAAAUUAUCACGUCACCCUCUUGGUUUGUAUAAUGUUUUGGUUUUCUAAUGGCCUUUGUCUAAUCAACACUGCAGAGCACAGUAGUUAAAAUCCCAGUGAACAUUUUUAUUUACUAUGAUUAUAUCUGUAAACUCCACAAUAAUUGUGUUAGCUUCAGCACUCCAGUCCUUACAGUUGAUGAUAAUCUUGAAAUCCGAGAUUUGCUUCAAAUAAGCUUCUAGCCCUCAUGAGUGUGGAUAAAUGCUUCAGAAAUAGACCUUGGAAAAAAGAUUAUAUAGCAGGUGGCAAAUAAUAUGAGUGUAUAUUCAUUAUUUCUACAAUAUCAUUCCUUUUUAACUCAGAACUUUGGAUUUUAAAGGGCUGACUCAUGAUGAUAUUUGAAUUAGAGUUAAAUUUACUGGUCUGAUUACGGAAGACCCACCUACAAGUAAUUCCCAGGAAUACUAGGAUGGCGUUUCCAAAUGCUGUUGUAAAUAUACUUAGACAUUUAUGACAAUUGAUAAACUAGUGACUGAAUACUGUCUGUUGGGAAGGGAGAUAACAUCGGUUUUGAAGUACAGGCAUCUGGGCACUGGCCCAGUUUUGGUAAUUCUCUGCACCAUAUGCCUGCUUGAACUGUCAAAUGCCACUGCAUUCUCUCAGAUUGCAGUUGUAAUUGUUGCUUUAAGUUUUUCUUUAUCUCUAUAUCCUCUGCCUGCUAAAAGACUGCAGGGUCAGUUCAGACUUGUUCUUGCACCACACCUAUCUGCUAAUAAGUAGUAUAGUACUUACAUAUGGGGAUUCCCUCACCCUGAACCUGGGGUGGGGUGGGAAUUAACAGCAAUUUCUCACGGCAAUCUAUGAACUCCCUUUCAUCAUAAUGAAUAUGUUACAAAACUAUAGUCUGUAAGAUGCAUGUCCUCAGGAGAGUGACGUAGAAGGUUAGGCAGCAAUUCUGAAAUAGUGAUUUCAGAAUCACUGUAAAAAAGAGGAAGUGAUUGUUGACAUAGGGAAAUACAAUCUUGAACACUAGCUUGGGGUGUGUGUGAACUCUGCUGAACUCCAUUGUACGUACUUCUAAGCAAACAUGGGUAGGAUCAGGCUGCACUUUUAAUCGAAUGCGGGUCUGAACAUCUGACAUUAGUCCCUCUCUUAUGCAAAGGGUAGAAAUUACUGAUUGAUUGUCCUAUCUUAUUCUGGACAAGCCUGGGCUUGUUACCUUACUCUGCAGUUCUCUUUCCUCCAUUGGCAAUGCAAAUGCUCCUUAAUAAAUAAAUAAAUAUUUCUCUCAGCUAUCACUUCCAUCCUUUUUGAAGAAGGUUACCAGAAAUAUUUUAGGGACUGUAUUCUGGGUAUAGUUUAAAUCCAGAAGUACAGGUACACAAUUGUGCAUUCUGAGCAGAAUUAGAGAAGUAUCCAGCCUUAGAAAAAGGAUUGCCUAUUAAAUGUUCCAAAAUAUUAGAUAUGCACCUAAACACAUUAUGGCCAGUUUAUUUCUUUGGACCCACAGCUUGCCCUAUCCUAAAGUUUUUGGGAAGGUAGCAAUACUUAAAAACAAAAGCCAUUAGCAGAAUACAGACAGCUGGGUAAAAUCUCGUCUCUUAUCCUAAUGUAGUAUGAUAUCAUAUACUAUCCCACCAACUUCUACUCAUCGUUUCUCACUGGGUAGAACCCAUUCAUCUCUCCCUACUGAGGUGUCACUUUUCUUUUUAUUACUGCUCCCUGCUGUUGUGCUUUUAAUCUGCAGAUAUUAACAGGUGGUAACACUUAGGUCAAUGCUGUUAAAAACUUUACCAGGCAAUGUCUAUAAAUUUUUGCUAAAGUCAUGAAAGUAGGCCAGGCUGAUUUGUUUCCAGUCAAAUGUCUUCUCUUACGUGUUUUUGUUCUGUUCUAGAUUACAGAUUAUUAGCUAUAGUGUUUAUUAGCUAACCCUAGCUCCAUAUGAAAUUCCAAGCUCCUAGAGUUUCAUGUGUUUGUUUUCAGACUUUAAAUCUCUUCUCACAGAGGGUUCCCAUAAGGCAAAUAUGUGACAGUCACUUAUUUAUGCAGUAUGCUGUAUAUUGUCCAACAUCCCCAGUCAUCUAGUUUGUUAAUCUUGUUCAUCAGUGGAUUUAAGCAUGUACUGGAGCAGACAGUGAAUUACUCAUAUGACAUCACUAUUAUCUCCUUGCGUAAUUCCUAAUCUUUUCCCAGACUUGCUAAAUAUCUGGCGUUUUGCUGGUUCAGUCAGGUAGAAACAACCAAUGGUGGUAAAAAUAAAUAUUUCUCAUUUGGUGUAUGAUACAAUUGAUCUUACAGCAAUGAACUCAUGAUGUACCUAGGCUUUCAGAGAUGGUAUGUGGACUUGGAAAAAUCAAAGGUAGCCAUGCUGGCCCUACCAUUAGACAAAGUGAGGAGGCUGUCUUAGGCAGAAGGUGUUCAAGGGCAGGGAGCAGCAAAGGAAGAUACAGUGGUGCCUCGCAAGACGAAAUUAAUUCGUUCCGCGAGUUUUUUCGUCUAGCUAAUUUUUCAUCUUGCGAAGCACGAAAUCCCAUAGGAAUGCAUUGAAAUUCAAUUAAUGCGUUCCUAUGGUCAAAAAAAGUCCAAACAAAGCCAAAUUUGGUACAACAAGAGUUUAUUAAGUGCUCUUUAAAGUCACACAUACUGUAAAGAGCAUUUCAAAAACUGAAGGAACAAUAAAUUAAGUUUCUAAACAUGACAGAAAAACUUUUUUUAAAAAAAACAACAACAUGGCCCAAUGGUCACAGAAAAUCAUAAAAAUUCCAAAAAAACCCCACACAAGCUCCCAGAUUCUUGCAAACCCCUCCUCAACUGUUCCCCCAGCCACCCACCACACAGAAAUUCAAACCCAGAAUUUUUUUUAAAAAAAACAGCAGAGUGGCCCAAUGGUCACAGAAAAUCAUAAAAAUUCAAAAAAAAAACCCACACAAGCUCCCAGAUUCUUGCAAACCCCUCC
RNAcentral lists this long non-coding RNA (4712 nucleotides) under Podarcis lilfordi (Lilford's wall lizard). Lineage: Eukaryota; Metazoa; Chordata; Lepidosauria; Squamata; Lacertidae. The record is from RNAcentral.